GUGCUCACUUUGGUAGCACAUGUUCUAAAAACUGGAACAAUACAGAGAAGAUUUAACACAGCCCCUGAACAAGGAUGACACACAAAUUCAUGAAAUGUUCCAUAUUUUU
Molecule: small nuclear RNA, 109 nt
Organism: Pteropus vampyrus (large flying fox)
Lineage: Eukaryota; Metazoa; Chordata; Mammalia; Chiroptera; Pteropodidae
Source: Ensembl